This 501-nucleotide ribosomal RNA is filed under the name uncultured bacterium. RNAcentral's name for it is "partial 16S ribosomal RNA". It matches the Rfam family "Bacterial small subunit ribosomal RNA", at positions 29 to 523 of the family's 1533-position model. The record is from RNAcentral.
AUUGAACGCUGGCGGCAUGCCUUACACAUGCAAGUCGAACGGCAGCACGGGUGCUUGCACCUGGUGGCGAGUGGCGAACGGGUGAGUAAUACAUCGGAACGUACCUUAUCGUGGGGGAUAACGCAGCGAAAGCUGUGCCAAUACCGCAUACGCCCUGAGGGGGAAAGCGGGGGAUCGCAAGACCUAACGCGAUUAGAGCGGCCGAUGCCUGAUUAGCUUGUUGGUGGGGUAAAAGCCCACCAAGGCGACGAUCAGGAGCUGGUCUGAGAGGACGAUCAGCCACACUGGGACUGAGACACGGCCCAGACUCCUACGGGAGGCAGGAGUGGGGAAUUUUGGACAAUGGGGGCAACCCUGAUCCAGCAAUGCCGCGUGAGUGAAGAAGGCCUUCGGGUUGUAAAGCUCUUUUGUCAGGGAAGAAACACCGGCUCUAACACAGUCCGGGAAUGACGGUACCUGAAGAAUAAGCACCGGCUAACUACGUGCCAGCAGCCGCGGUAA